GGCGAAAUGGCCGAGUGGUCUAAGGCGCUAGAAUCAGGUGAAUCACCAAUCUAGUCUUUCGGGGCGUGGGUUCGAAUCCCACUUUCGUCA
Molecule: non-coding RNA, 90 nt
Organism: Dendrothele bispora CBS 962.96
Lineage: Eukaryota; Fungi; Basidiomycota; Agaricomycetes; Agaricales
Source: the annotation of a GenBank genome assembly